This 1092-nucleotide unclassified non-coding RNA is filed under the name Hevea brasiliensis (rubber tree). The record is from RNAcentral. Lineage: Eukaryota; Viridiplantae; Streptophyta; Magnoliopsida; Malpighiales; Euphorbiaceae.
AGGAUUACAAAUACUCUACAUAUACCUAAGUUCCCUACACAUUUUAGAGACUUUUCCUAUGAUUAAAAUUUUUAGUUAAUAAAAUAAAGGAGUGGUUUCUCUCAUCUCUUGAGAAUUUGUUUCUCUAUCUUUCAGAAUUUGUGUCUAAGCCCUUUAUUCCCCAUUUGUUCUAUUGGUUUCUAUAUCACAAGCAUUACAAAAAGCCACAGAAAAUGUCACCCAAAAAAUUUCUUCACUGGAUUCUCCCAUUAAUAACUUCAGUUUGUAUUUUUCUACUUAAAAAACAAUAAAAUGCUCUUGCAAAUUCUUUUCAACUGAAAGGUCUGCACAUCAGGAACAAUACUACAGCCUAAGAAUCAUCCUAUGGAAUUUUUUUUUUUUGGGGGCCAAAGAUAACUCAUUUGCCUCACCCAGGCAGAAAUAAGGAAACAAGAAGCACCUGCUCCAUGAAGUUACAAGAAAAGGACAGAUGAUGCAGAGAAUUCGUGGCUAAACUGUGAGCAGCCAUAUUCCCACGCCGCCUUACAAAAUAAAACUUACAAUUAUUAAAAUUAGCAGUUAAAGAAACAACAUCUUUCACAAUGACUUUGAUGUGAAUUGAAGGAAUGGGGGAUCCCAACAGAGCUUGGAUAAUCUCAAGAGAGUCACCCUCUAUAACAACCUUAGAGAAUCCCUUGCUCACAGCUAGUAUGAGUGGAUCUGAGAUAUGGUUGUGACCAACCUAGAGAAAAACCUUUAUUGUCUCUUGCGAUCACUGCUACAGCUCCUCUGUUGUAUUGCUUAGAAACUGCUGCAUCAAAGUUGAUUUUGAUAAAACCAUCAGGGAGGGAGGAGACCAUGAUGAAUUGUGGUGAGGGGAAGUUGGCAGAAUCUGAGCCUGGCAUAUUUGCUUCCAUGUAUUCCGAAAAAAUGGGUGUUCACUAGAUUAAUAAUCUCUCGGGAGCAGAUUGAAUUAUUGCAAAAACAAGCACUAUGCCGGUUAUUCCUUAACUGCCAGAGAAGGAAGGCUGCCAUCAGUAUCAAUUCCUUCCCUUACGGAUGAGGGCUCAGAAAAUCAAUGAUUUCAGACUGUUAUGGAAAGUCAAUCAUUAU